CAGGAUGGUAUUGUUAUGAAUACUGUGUGCCAGGAUGGUAUUGUUAUAUCUAUUGUGUGCCAUUCUGGUAUUGUUAUAAAUAUUGUGUGGCAGGCUGGUAUUGUUAUAAAUACUGUGUUCCAGGCUGGUUUUGUUAUAUCUAUUGUGUGCCAGUCUGGUAUUGUUAUAAAUGCUGUGUGCCAGGAUAGCAUUGUUAUAAAUAUUGUGUGGCAGGCUGGUAUUGUUAUAAAUACUGUGUGCCAGGCUGGUUUUGUUAUAUCUAUUGUGUGCCAAG
This 274-nucleotide long non-coding RNA is filed under the name Pelobates cultripes (western spadefoot toad). Lineage: Eukaryota; Metazoa; Chordata; Amphibia; Anura; Pelobatidae. The record is from RNAcentral.